Molecule: ribosomal RNA, 465 nt
Filed under: Vreelandella stevensii
Lineage: Bacteria; Pseudomonadati; Pseudomonadota; Gammaproteobacteria; Oceanospirillales; Halomonadaceae
Description: partial 16S ribosomal RNA
Rfam family: Bacterial small subunit ribosomal RNA
Source: RNAcentral
CCUACGGGUGGCUGCAGUGGGGAAUAUUGGACAAUGGGCGAAAGCCUGAUCCAGCCAUGCCGCGUGUGUGAAGAAGGCCUUCGGGUUGUAAAGCACUUUCAGUGGGGAAGAAAGCCUUGGGGCUAAUACCCUCGAGGAAGGACAUCACCCACAGAAGAAGCACCGGCUAACUCCGUGCCAGCAGCCGCGGUAAUACGGAGGGUGCGAGUGUUAAUCGGAAUUACUGGGCGUAAAGCGCGCGUAGGCGGUCUGAUAAGCCGGUUGUGAAAGCCCCGGGCUCAACCUGGGAACGGCAUCCGGAACUGUCAGGCUAGAGUGCAGGAGAGGAAGGUAGAAUUCCCGGUGUAGCGGUGAAAUGCGUAGAGAUCGGGAGGAAUACCAGUGGCGAAGGCGGCCUUCUGGACUGACACUGACGCUGAGGUGCGAAAGCGUGGGUAGCAAACAGGAUUAGAUACCCUGGUAGUC